UACAGAGGGUGCGAGCGUUAAUCGGAAUUACUGGGCGUAAAGCGUGCGUAGACGGUUAUUUAAGUCGGGUGUGAAAGCCCCGGGCUCAACCUGGGAAUUGCAUUCGAGACUGAAUAGCUAGGGUACGGUAGAGGGAAGCGGAAUUUCCGGUGUAGCGGUGAAAUGCGUAGAUAUCGGAAGAACAUCAGUGGCGAAAGCGGCUUCCUGGAC
RNAcentral lists this ribosomal RNA (210 nucleotides) under uncultured bacterium. Its description in RNAcentral is "partial 16S ribosomal RNA". It matches the Rfam family "Bacterial small subunit ribosomal RNA", at positions 524 to 734 of the family's 1533-position model. The record is from RNAcentral.